AACGAACGCUGGCGGCAUGCCUAACGCAUGCAAGUCGAACGAAGGCUUCGGCCUUAGUGGCGCACGGGUGCGUAACGCGUGGGAAUCUGCCCUUUGGUUCGGAAUAACAGCUGGAAACGGCUGCUAAUACCGGAUGAUGACGAAAGUCCAAAGAUUUAUCGCCAGAGGAUGAGCCCGCGUUGGAUUAGGUAGUUGGUGGGGUAAAGGCCUACCAAGCCGACGAUCCAUAGCUGGUCUGAGAGGAUGAUCAGCCACACUGGGACUGAGACACGGCCCAGACUCCUACGGGAGGCAGCAGUGGGGAAUAUUGGACAAUGGGCGCAAGCCUGAUCCAGCAAUGCCGCGUGAGUGAUGAAGGCCCUAGGGUUGUAAAGCUCUUUUACCCGGGAAGAUAAUGACUGUACCGGGAGAAUAAGCCCCGGCUAACUCCGUG
RNAcentral lists this ribosomal RNA (433 nucleotides) under uncultured bacterium. RNAcentral describes it as "partial 16S ribosomal RNA". It matches the Rfam family "Bacterial small subunit ribosomal RNA", at positions 29 to 507 of the family's 1533-position model. The record is from RNAcentral.